This is a long non-coding RNA of Spinacia oleracea (spinach), 2252 nucleotides long. RefSeq lists it as uncharacterized. NCBI's taxonomy places the organism in Eukaryota, Viridiplantae, Streptophyta, Magnoliopsida, Caryophyllales, Amaranthaceae. The transcript is spliced from 12 exons. The record is from RefSeq and is a predicted model, not a curated record.
AAUUCGAACAAAUUAAUCCCGGCGCUCAACUCCCUUCUUCUUCCCUAAGCUUUCCUACGUCGUCCCCUAAAAAAAAAAAUCCCUGGGUCGUCAAUCUAGCUUCCUCGUCGGUGGUUCUGGCCUCCUCGCCAGUCGCCGGUGGCUCUUUUCUCACCUCAUCUCCAGUCGCCGGUAGCUCUUUUCUCGCCUCCUCUCCAGUCGCCGUUUGAAGAUGAACGAGAUGCUGAAGAUGCUUUGCACGGUCGAUAUUGUUCAAACUGCUCUUGUGGAUUGUUAUACCAGUUUUUGUUCGGAUGUUGGGACUCCACGUCAACUGUUUGAUGAAAUGUCUGAGAGAAAUGUUGUUUCUUGGACAGCUAUGAUAUCUGGGUAUGCAAGAUUGGGGGAGAUGGGGAAUGCCAUUCUUUUGUUUGAUUAAAUGCCUGAAAGGGAUGUACCUUCCUGGAAUUCUAUAAUUGCUGGAUGCAAUCAGAAUGGGUUGUUUUCAGAAGCGAUCUUGUACCUUAGAAGAAUUUUGGGCUCAUUCGGGUUGCAGCUUAGACCAAAUGAAGUAACUUUAACAAUGAGAAUAAGUGAAUUCCAUGAGAAGAUAUGAAGCAGCUAGUUGGCUUAGGAAAAAUGUGGGGUUGUCGCCGCUAGAGACCUGCCGGCGGAGCCCUCUGAAGAAGAGUUUAAGCUUGGUUUUAGAAGUGGAUUGAUCCUUUGCAAUGUCCUUAACAAGGUCCAACCUGGAGCUGUGCCAAAGGUGGUGGAGAGCCCUACAGAUUCUACUCUUCUUCCUGAUGGAGCAUCUUUAUUAGCUUAUCAGUACUUUGAAAAUGUGAGGAACUUUCUUGUAGCAGCAGAAAAUAUGGGGCUUCCUACAUUUGAGGCAUCUGAUCUCGAGCAAGGUCACGAGCUCAACUAGUGAGUUUCCUUGAAGUUGGUCCUUUCUUCAAUGCAGUUAGUGGAAUCAGUUCUCAGUUCUUAAUUCGAGCAACGCAUGGGCUCCCAAAGUGAUAUGGCUAAUCAACUAAGGCAAGCAACAGCAAAAGAUUUUUCUGCAUCACAUGGGAAGAAGUCUUUUUCAAAGAUGUCUUCUGAUAACUCUAAGGCGAGUGAUCAUAUCUCCUUUAUGAGUAUAUAAAUAUAAAUAUAAAUUCAGGCAAACUGUGACUUUAGGUGAGAAAGUCUUGGCAUCUUUUAAUAUCGUACUGAAGGUAGGAGAUAGAAGCUUUGCCUUAACCAAGAAGCAGGAGAGCACUAAUGGCAAUCAUGUUAGUGCUGAACAACUGAGAAGUCAGAUGAUGAAACAACAAGAAAUCUUUGAUCGGCAAGGAAGAGAUGUCCAGGUACACAUAAGUAUGGCCUAGCUAAAGCAGCAAGUGGAUAUCACAAGGUUCUCGAUGAGAAUCGUAGGUUGUACAAUGAUUUGUUGGGUGACAACGAUAACGAUGACCCAUCGCAGCUCAUCGAGUCUGUUGUUCAGCUGCAAAAGGUUGAUGCUGCUGCUGCGACUCAGAAAACACCAGCUCAGGCUGCUGCUCAAACCCAGCAAAAAGCUGCGAAAUUGCCCUCAAAACCCCUGCCCCCAUCUCAAGCUGUCUGGACCGAAAGACCUCACGGAGCAGAGUCGAAGUGUAAACUACAGGUCUUUCGGUGACCUAUUUUAUCUCGUGGAGCAAAGGAAAGACACUUUUCUUAAUGAUGUUGCUGUCCAGAUGAUCGAGAUUUACAAUGAGCCGUGUCAACAUUAAAAAUAGGGAAAUUCUAUAAGCAUCUGGCACUGAUAAAGCAAGGAGGCACCGGUACGAUAGAAAUUUUUCCUAGAGGGAAAAUCGAAACACACGAUUCCACGUUCUGAAAUGGAUUCUACACAACAUAACGCUUACAGUUUUGGUGAAGAAACUACAGCUGUCUUUGGUGCUACAGAGUUGACGGAUGAUCCUACAUGGAUUGUUGACCCACUUGAUGGGACAACUAACUUUGUGCACGGGUUCCCGUUUGUUUGUGUUUCUAUUGGUCUCACCAUUGGAAAAGUCCCAACUGUCGGUGUCGUGUAUAAUCCAAUUAUGAAUGAGGUAUAUACUCCGAGGAAUGUGCCUUAUGCUAGUGAGGAAUUGAUGUGGUUCGUGAGCAGUUGGCUAAGAUUUUUAUUAGCAAGUAUUUAUUACUGGCCUGAGCGCGCUUGGUCGAGUUUUUUGAUAUUAAAAUGUAUGCGUACAUUGAAAUUGGAACGAACAAAUAUUUUAAUGUAGUACCUGCACUUUGGU